CCUAUACUAUAGAUAAUAACUACUUUUCUUGACUAUUCAUCCAUUCUACCUACUGAACCACCUUUUCAGCAGUUAUCUAUCCAUGUUUACACUAUAUACUAGGUAUCUACAUUCUGAAAAUAACUACUUAUUCUACGCAAUGUCAAUUCAAAUACUGGUAAUUAAGACUCCCCGUGUUGGUGUAUUGGGUACAUUUGUAACACCAUUUUAUCUCCGUCCUUGCCAAUUAUCAAAGUACCUUAACUCCAAUUGUUCUU
Molecule: long non-coding RNA, 257 nt
Filed under: Physcomitrium patens
Lineage: Eukaryota; Viridiplantae; Streptophyta; Bryopsida; Funariales; Funariaceae
Description: long non-coding RNA (PPAT_LNC011932)
Source: RNAcentral